RNAcentral lists this ribosomal RNA (717 nucleotides) under Triticum aestivum (bread wheat). RNAcentral's name for it is "partial small subunit ribosomal RNA". The record is from RNAcentral. Lineage: Eukaryota; Viridiplantae; Streptophyta; Magnoliopsida; Poales; Poaceae.
GAGAUCAGCGGCGACGUUGUCCAGGCGGAGGCCGCAGUCGACGACGAGGAGGAGGCGCUCUGCCCCAUUUGCCUCGACGCCAUGGAGCCGGGCCGCGUCGUGCGCAUCCUCCCCAGCUGUAACUGCGCCUUCCACCAGGACUGCGUCGAUCGGUGGCUAGCCAUCUCGCCUGGGUGGCCGCCCUGCUCAGCCGCUCGGGCCGCACGGUCGAGCUCGUCCGGCCGGACAACGCCAUGUCCGCCUCCUGCAGGACCAUCGUGCGCGCGCUCUCGCGCUUGCCUGUGCAUGGCAAGGAGGACGGCGGCGAGUUCGCGUGCAAGUCUAUCCCCAAGCGCAAGCUGCUGGCGCAAGUUGGUGCUGCCGCGCGCGCUGCUCUGCUGUUGCUGGUGCUCAUCAAGGCGGGCGAGCGACGGCGAGUCGCGCGAGAUGGCGAGGACUGCGGCGGGAUCAUCGUGGUGUCUUCCUCGCCUCGCCGUCGAGCUAGUGGGGGGCACAACGAGUGGGAAGUUUUUUCCCCCCAGGCCAAAAAUUUCGCCGGUAGCCCCCCAGGCGGCGAAAAAUAUGCCUCCUGGGGAAGCCAACGGCUGGAGAUGCUCUUACUCUCCUUUGUUUGAUGAUGCUGGUGGGAGGAGAGAGCACAAAAAACACUGUAUGCCUUUUAAAUUAUGUCUCAAAAAGACUUCGUAUUUCUUUUUCAGGUUAUAUUUGUGUAAUUAG